GAAUUGAAACACUAGUUUUUGUAUGAUCACCAAAGUUAAGCAAUGUUGAGCCUGGUCAGUAUCUAGAUGGGUGACCAUUUGGGAGUACUUGGUACUGUAAG
Molecule: non-coding RNA, 101 nt
Organism: Acanthosepion pharaonis
Lineage: Eukaryota; Metazoa; Mollusca; Cephalopoda; Sepiida; Sepiidae
Source: the annotation of a GenBank genome assembly